Gasterosteus aculeatus aculeatus (three-spined stickleback) is the source of this 3033-nucleotide long non-coding RNA. The record is from Ensembl. Lineage: Eukaryota; Metazoa; Chordata; Actinopteri; Perciformes; Gasterosteidae.
GCUCACGUCCAGAGAAUCUUUGGCAGCGCAACAGAAAUGCCAGGAGACUGUUCUGGAGGCGCAGCAGCGACAGUUGAUUAAGGCCCACACGGAGGCCACCAGCAAGCUACUCAGUGAAAAAGACUGGAAGGCUGGCUAUGACGCACAGAGGGAACUAAACGACGCCUUGGAGCUGAAGAACAAUGAAUGGAAAGAGAAUAUCCUCAGUGUAAUGAACAGUCUCAAAGAUCUUGACGCCUGUAAGGCAAACUACAAAUCAAUGAAGACAGAUAUAAAAGUUGCAACCAGACUGAAUAAAACUCUCGAAAAGCAACACAAGACCCUGGGAAACAAGUUCUCAAAAGAGCAGAAGUAUGAGGAAAAACACAACGCAAUAAAGUCCGAGAGCGAAACCCUGAUGGGUGAAAACUGCACUCUUCAGCGUCAGGUUGAGGAACUGCAGAGCACCCUUCAGGGAACGCAUGGCAGAGAACGAGAUCGAUAACAGACAAUUGGACGUUCUCGAGGAGCAAGUGUCCUCCGUCGCAUGUAGAAAGGGUGCACCGGAAAAGGCCUUGGUGGUUUGAACCCUCGCCGGCCGGUCCCGAACAAGACACCUAACCACCCUUAGGCAUCCCAUUGAAGUAACAGCUAUGGUUUUCUCCUGGGUUUUCCUUAAAAAUGACCGUACAUGGGUGUCUACUGUGCUGAUGUAGCAUAAUUUGACACACAUUCUCUUAAUCGAUUCACACAUUUGUGACAUUUGCAAUGCACAUUUGGGCAGUUGAGUUUUUUUCCUGCAGCAGGUGUUCACACCUGUACUUGGUCCUCUGCUGUGCUAAUGUAAGGUCAUUUUACAUUCCAUUUAGACAUGGACGGUUUUCUCCCGGUGCUCCGGGUUUUCCUCAAAAAUAAUCUUUCUUAAUCGAUUAAUACAUUCGUUCCGCUAUAAAAGUAGAGUCCAUCACUUAUCCGACAGUACGGUUACAGAACCAAGGCUGUGCGUAGAGGUAAGCGCCACAGCGAAAGCACUGUCUGAAAUAAUUACACUCCUGGCAAAAAGCGCCUAAUUAGAUUUGGACCGUAGCGUCCACACCCAACAAAAUGUCACGCCAAGUUUUCUUAAAAACUCGACAGCCCCGAUAUGAAGAUUGAAAGAAUAUUGAACUACGAGCGUGGCGCAGCGGCAAAAAACACUAUUCGCCCCAAAAAAUUUAAGUUGUUUUAACUAGGCCAUACAUUUUGUUAUCUGCUCCAUAUGUUACCAGGGCCAGAGUAAUACUUCUGAUUGGACAGACGGACUGUCUGUCUGUCUUUCAACAGGAAAUGACACAGGGUCUCAAGUGUCAUGCACUCCCACCACGCAUCCAAUUCCUCACGCCAAGGAAUCGGUCUACGGUGUCGGCCAUAACGUCCGCGGUACCCCCCCACGUAGCGUCCACCUCCUUUUAUUUACUUUUAUGUACAACACCUAAAUAUAAUUGAACAACAAAACACCGGUAAAACAAUGGUGAAAAACUAGUAGGGCACUUUUAAGACACUCGUAAAACAUCGCCAUCUCUCCGUGACUUUCUGCUGCGGCUCUCCUGCUGCGCUCACUUCCACCCCUCAUCACAGGCUCUCCCGCCACAGAUUUAUUGAUUGCCAUAAUAUCUAGAAAGCGGCAUUUCUCAGCUUUCAGAAUCCGAUAGUGCAAAUAGUUAAGGAGUCACGGUAAUUUGAAUCCUCCAUGUCACUUUUCGUCGCCGGCGAUAGGCUUCAUAAUUAGGAGUCGGUAUUCCAGGAAGAGGAUAUUGAUAAAGCAUAUGAAAAUUUUCUGAAUAUCUUUAAAUUAUUAUAUGACAAAAACUGUCCAUUGAAAAUGUUCUCUCAAGCCAGGCCCAGAUGGGGGGCCCGACAGCGAGCGUCUGGUGGCCGGGUUUGCCGGCUCUGGAACCACAUUCCUGGAUAGGGGACGGACUCCCGGCUGAGUGCUGCUACAUUGGAGUUUACUCUGGUGGACACCCGGUACGCCUUCGGGUGGUGGGGGGGGGAAACUCUGACUGUUGUCUGUGCAUAUGCACCAAACAGCGGCUCAGAGUAUUCAGCCUUUUUGGAGACCCUGAAUGGAGUCCUGCAUGGGGCUCCAGUAGGGGACUCCAAAGUAUUACUGGGAGACUUCAAUGGGCACGUGGGAGACGAUGGAGAUAACUGGAGAGGCAUGAUUGGGAGGAAUGGCCUCCCUGAUCUGACCCCGAGUGGGUGUUUGUUACUGGACUUCUGUGCCAGUCACGGAUUGUCCAUAACAAACACCAUGUUCGGACAUAAGGAUGUUCAUAAGUGUACGUGGUACCAGAGCACCCUAGGCCAAAGAUCAAUGAUCGAUUUUGUAAUCGUAUCGUCUGAUCUGAGGCCGCAUGUUCUGGACACUUGGGUAAAGAGAGGGGCAGAGCUGUCAACUGAUCACCAUCUGGUUGUGAGCUGGGUCAGAGGAUGGGGGAUGACUCAGCACAGACCUGGUAAACCCAAGCGUGUAGUGAGUGUGAACUGGGAACUCCUGGAGGAGGCCCCGGUCCAAAAGAUUUUCAACUCACACCUCCGGCGGAGCUUCUCUUACAGUCCUGUGGAGGUAGGGGACAUUGAACCAAAGUGGUGUAUGUUCAAAACCUCCAUUGCUGAAGCCGCGGCAGUGAGUUGUUGCCUCAAGGUCUUAGGUGCAUCAAGGGGCGGUAACCCUCGAACACCGUGGUCGACACCGAUGGUCAGGGAAGCCGUUCGACUGAAGAAGGAGGCCUUCUGGGUUAUGAUAUCCGGUGGGACUCCGGAGACAGUUGCAGUGAACCGACAGGCUCGAAGGGCAGCAGCCUCUGCCGUGAUGGAGGCAAAGCAGCGAGUAUGGGAGGAGUUUGGGGUAACUAUGGAGAAGGACUUUCGGUCGGCACAAAAGUGUUUUUGGAAGACCAUCCGGCACCUCAGGAGGGGGAAACGAGGAACCAUCCAAGCUGUGUACAGUAAGGAUGGGGCCCUGUUGACCGCGACUGAGGAGGUUAUCGGGCGGUGGAAGGAACACUUUGU